Molecule: transfer RNA, 73 nt
Filed under: Geothermobacter ehrlichii
Lineage: Bacteria; Pseudomonadati; Thermodesulfobacteriota; Desulfuromonadia; Desulfuromonadales; Geothermobacteraceae
Also listed under: 4 other names
Rfam family: tRNA
About the family: Transfer RNA (tRNA) molecules are approximately 80 nucleotides in length. Their secondary structure includes four short double-helical elements and three loops (D, anti-codon, and T loops).
Source: Rfam by way of RNAcentral
GGGCGAAUAGCUCAGCUGGGAGAGCACCUGCCUUACAAGCAGGGGGUCACAGGUUCGAGCCCUGUUUCGCCCA